AAGGCUUCAAUCUGCCGAGGAAGACAAGCAACAAGUCCAAUGACAACAUCAUCUAGAUAAUAUAGACCAUCUAUUUUAGCUAAGCUUGCAGGGGAGACACAACAACAUAUAUAGUAAGAGUAGCGAGAGAAAAUGCAAACGCAAAAGCGAUUUCGGCAUGGUCAUCAUCUAAAUCUUUUUUUGUAAGGAUAUUUUCUUUCUUUGUUUUUUU
This 211-nucleotide long non-coding RNA is filed under the name Brassica napus (rape). Its description in RNAcentral is "long non-coding RNA (BNAP_LNC015340)". The record is from RNAcentral. Lineage: Eukaryota; Viridiplantae; Streptophyta; Magnoliopsida; Brassicales; Brassicaceae.